Molecule: ribosomal RNA, 755 nt
Filed under: Gleimia europaea
Lineage: Bacteria; Bacillati; Actinomycetota; Actinomycetes; Actinomycetales; Actinomycetaceae
Description: bacterial SSU rRNA
Rfam family: Bacterial small subunit ribosomal RNA
Source: RNAcentral
GACGAACGCUGGCGGCGUGCUUAACACAUGCAAGUCGAACGGGAUCCAAGGGCUUUUUGUUUUUGGUGAGAGUGGCGAACGGGUGAGUAACACGUGAGUAACCUGCCCCCUUCUUUUGGAUAACCGCAUGAAAGUGUGGCUAAUACAGGAUAGUCCAGGCUGGUCGCAUGAUUGGUUUGGGAAAUGGUUUGGUCUGGUGGGGGAUGGGCUCGCGGCCUAUCAGCUUGUUGGUGGGGUGAUGGCCUACCAAGGCGGUGACGGGUAGCCGGCCUGAGAGGGUGGGCGGUCACACUGGGACUGAGAUACGGCCCAGACUCCUACGGGAGGCAGCAGUGGGGGAUUUUGCACAAUGGGCGCAAGCCUGAUGCAGCGACGCCGCGUGAGGGAUGGAGGCCUUCGGGUUGUGAACCUCUUUCGCUGGGUUGAAAGGCCAUGCUUUGGGUGUGGUUGAUUUGAACUGGUAAAGAAGUACCGGCUAACUACGUGCCAGCAGCCGCGGUAAUACGUAGGGUACUAGCGUUGUCCGGAUUUAUUGGGCGUAAAGGGCUUGUAGGUGGUUUGUCGCGUCUGUCGUGAAAUCCUGUGGCUUAACCAUGGGCUUGCGGUGGGUACGGGCAGGCUUGAGUGCGGUAGGGGAGACUGGAAUUCCUGGUGUAGCGGUGGAAUGCGCAGAUAUCAGGAGGAACACCGGUGGCGAAGGCGGGUCUCUGGGCCGUUACUGACACUGAGGAGCGAAAGCGUGGGGAGCGAACAGG